AAAAUGCGAUACGUAAUGCGAAUUGCAGAAUUCAGUGAAUCAUCAAAUCUUUGAACGCAAGUUGCGCUUUUGGGAUAUCCCUGAAAGCAUGCCUCCUUGAGUAUCGGUAACACCCCUCAUCCUUUGGUGGAUGGAGUAUGAGUGGAUUCUGUUAAGGCUCUGUCCUGUACAGUCACUUGAAACCGAGAAGACAUCUGAGCCCAGAGAGUUUCAAUUCUCUCUAAGCCUUAGUGUGUAUCUUCUAAAGCCACGUAGUUAGUUCACUUUCGGGUGAUUUUUUAUACGUACUUUGGAUUUUAUAGAAUGACACUUUGGCGUGCCUACCAGAUGGCGGUUUUUUAAAAACCAAACCUUUUUUUGUAACAUAUGAUCUCAAGUGAGGUAAGAAGACCCGCUGAAC
RNAcentral lists this unclassified non-coding RNA (400 nucleotides) under uncultured fungus. RNAcentral describes it as "sequence contains ITS1". The stretch from base 1 to 106 matches the Rfam family "5.8S ribosomal RNA", at positions 50 to 154 of the family's 154-position model. Lineage: Eukaryota; Fungi. The record is from RNAcentral.